Molecule: ribosomal RNA, 497 nt
Filed under: uncultured bacterium
Lineage: Bacteria
Description: partial 16S ribosomal RNA
Rfam family: Bacterial small subunit ribosomal RNA
Source: RNAcentral
GAUGAACGCUGGCGGCGUGCCUAAUACAUGCAAGUCGAACGAACAGACGAGGACCUUGCUCCACUAACGUUAGCCGCGGGCGGAAGACUAACACGUGGAUCACCUCCCUUUAAGACUGGGAUAACUUCGUGGAACCGGUACUAAUACCGACUAAUAUAUUCAUCCGGUUGGUUGAAUAGUUAAAGCGGUGUUUGCUGUCACUGAUAGCUAUAUCCGCGCGGCAUUAGCUAGUGGGUAAGGUGACGGCCUUGCGAGGCAACGCUGCGUAGCCGACCUGGGAGGGUGAUCGGCCACACUGGAACUGGGACACGGUCCAGACUACUGAGGGAGGCAGCAGUAGGGAAUGGUCGGCAGAGGGCGAAAGCCUGACGGAGCAGCGGCGCGUGAGUGAUGAAGGUGUUGGGUUCGUGAAACUGUCUUAUUAGUGAAGAACAAAUGUGUAAGUAACUAUGCACGUAUUGACGGUACCUGAUCAGAAAGCAACGGCUAACUACGUG